RNAcentral lists this unclassified non-coding RNA (200 nucleotides) under uncultured fungus. RNAcentral describes it as "sequence contains ITS1, 5.8S rRNA gene". Lineage: Eukaryota; Fungi. The record is from RNAcentral.
CCAACGUAUGCUCUACAGUUCGAUUAUGAAAAUGAUCGUUCUCGCUAGGCACACACAUCUUUGUGAAUCGUCUGGUAGCCUUGGGAUUUAAAAAUAGCGAACCAUAGCGGCUAGCUGAUCCCUAUAGGCAACAAAAAUCUUACUGAAGAACUGAAUCUGGUUGGAAAACUAAAAGUUAACAUGGCCGCAAGGUUAUAAAA